ACGCUAGCUACAGGCUUAACACAUGCAAGUCGAGGGGAAACGGCAUUGAGUGCUUGCACUCUUUGGACGUCGACCGGCGCACGGGUGAGUAACGCGUAUCCGACCUUCCCAUUACUGUGGGAUAACCUGCCGAAAGGCAGACUAAUACCGCAUAGUCUUCGAUGACGGCAUCAGAUUUGAAGUAAAGAUUUAUCGGUAAUGGAUGGGGAUGCGUCUGAUUAGCUUGUUGGCGGGGUAACGGCCCACCAAGGCAACGAUCAGUAGGGGUUCUGAGAGGAAGGUCCCCCACAUUGGAACUGAGACACGGUCCAAACUCCUACGGGAGGCAGCAGUGAGGAAUAUUGGUCAAUGGACGGAAGUCUGAACCAGCCAAGUAGCGUGCAGGAUGACGGCCCUAUGGGUUGUAAACUGCUUUUGUAUGGGGAUAAAGUUAGGGACGUGUCCCUAUUUGCAGGUACCAUACGAAUAAGGACCGGCUAAUUCCGUGCCAGCAGCCGCGGUAAUACGGAAGGUCCAGGCGUUAUCCGGAUUUAUUGGGUUUAAAGGGAGCGUAGGCUGGAGAUUAAGUGUGUUGUGAAAUGUAGACGCUCAACGUCUGAAUUGCAGCGCAUACUGGUUUCCUUGAGUACGCACAACGUUGGCGGAAUUCGUCGUGUAGCGGUGAAAUGCUUAGAUAUGACGAAGAACUCCGAUUGCGAAGGCAGCUGACGGGAGCGCAACUGACGCUUAAGCUCGAAGGUGCGGGUAUCAAACAGGAUUAGAUACCCUGGUAGUCCGCACAGUAAACGAUGGAUGCCCGCUGUUGGUACCUGGUAUCAGCGGCUAAGCGAAAGCAUUAAGCAUCCCACCUGGGGAGUACGCCGGCAACGGUGAAACUCAAAGGAAUUGACGGGGGCCCGCACAAGCGGAGGAACAUGU
RNAcentral lists this ribosomal RNA (918 nucleotides) under uncultured bacterium. RNAcentral describes it as "bacterial SSU rRNA". It matches the Rfam family "Bacterial small subunit ribosomal RNA", at positions 33 to 942 of the family's 1533-position model. The record is from RNAcentral.